RNAcentral lists this ribosomal RNA (1207 nucleotides) under Thyrinula parasitica. RNAcentral's name for it is "partial 28S ribosomal RNA". It matches the Rfam family "Eukaryotic large subunit ribosomal RNA", at positions 1 to 1236 of the family's 3401-position model. The record is from RNAcentral. Lineage: Eukaryota; Fungi; Ascomycota; Dothideomycetes; Asterinales; Asterinaceae.
CCUCGGAUCAGGUGGGGAUACCCGCUGAACUUAAGCAUAUCAAUAAGCGGAGGAAGAGAAACCAACCGGGAUUGCCCUAGUAACGGCGAGUGAAGCGGCAACAGCUCAAAUUUGAAAUCUGGCGCCUUCGGUGCCCGAGUUGUAAUUUGUAGAGGGUAGCUCGAGCCCGCCCCCGUCUAAGUCCCCUGGAACGGGGCGUCGUAGAGGGUGAGAAUCCCGUAUGCGACGGGGUGGCGUGCUCGUGUGAGCUCCCUUCGACGAGUCGAGUUGUUUGGGAAUGCAGCUCUAAAUGGGAGGUAAAUUCCUUCUAAAGCUAAAUACCGGCCAGAGACCGAUAGCGCACAAGUAGAGUGAUCGAAAGAUGAAAAGCACUUUGGAAAGAGAGUUAAAAAGCACGUGAAAUUGUUGAAAGGGAAGCGCUCACGACCAGACUCGGGUGCGGCUGCUCAGCCGGUCUUCUGACCGGUGCAUCGGUUGUACCCGGGCCAGCAUCGGUUCGGGCGGUCGGAUAAAGGCCUCGGGAACGUAGCUCCUCUCGGGGAGUGUUAUAGCCCGGGGCGCAAUGCGGCCUGCCCGGACCGAGGAACGCGUUCGCUAGGAUGCUGGCGUAAUGGUCGUUAGCGGCCCGUCUUGAAACACGGACCAAGGAGUCUACCAUCUGUGCGAGUAUUAGGGUGUCAAACCCUUGUGCGUAAUGAAAGUGAACGGAGGUGGGAACCCUUUGGGUGCACCAUCGACCGAUCCAGAUGUCCUCGGACGGAUUUGAGUAAGAGCACCGCUGGUGGGACCCGAAAGAUGGUGAACUAUGCGCGGAUAGGGUGAAGCCAGAGGAAACUCUGGUGGAGGCUCGCAGCGGUUCUGACGUGCAAAUCGAUCGUCAAAUCUACGCAUAGGGGCGAAAGACUAAUCGAACCAUCUAGUAGCUGGUUCCUGCCGAAGUUUCCCUCAGGAUAGCAGUCACGUCUUCAGUUUUAUGAGGUAGAGCGAAUGAUUAGAGGCCUUGGGGUUGAAACAACCUUAACCUAUUCUCAAACUUCGAAUAUGUAAGAAGCCCUUGUUACUUGAUUGAACGUGGGCAUUCGAAUGUACCGUGACUAGUGGGCCAUUUUUGGUAAGCAGAACUGGCGAUGCGGGAUGAACCGAACGCGAGGUUAAGGUGCCGGAAUACACGCUUAUCAGAUACCACAAAAGGUGUUAGUUCAUCUAG